CAGAGGGGGCAAGCGUUAUUCGGAAUUAUUGGGCGUAAAGGGCGCGUAGGCGGCUUUGUAAGUGACGGGUGAAAUCCCUCGGCUUAACCGAGGAACUGCCUGUCAAACUGCAUGGCUUGAGACCAGGAGAGGUGAGUGGAAUUCCCAGUGUAGCGGUGAAAUGCGUAGAUAUUGGGAGGAACACCAGUGGCGAAGGCGGCUCACUGGACUGGUACUGACGCUGAGGCGCGAAAGCGUGGGGAGCAAACAGGAUUAGAUACCCUGGUAGUCCACGCCGUAAACGAUGAGUGCUUGGUGUAGCGGGUAUCGACCCCUGCUGUGCCGAAGUCAACACAUUAAGCACUCCGCCUGGGGAGUACGGUCGCAGGACUG
This 372-nucleotide ribosomal RNA is filed under the name uncultured organism. Its description in RNAcentral is "bacterial SSU rRNA". It matches the Rfam family "Bacterial small subunit ribosomal RNA", at positions 526 to 896 of the family's 1533-position model. The record is from RNAcentral.